UGGACCACCGUUUCCUUGCCCUGCCAUGGU
RNAcentral lists this non-coding RNA (30 nucleotides) under Homo sapiens (human). Lineage: Eukaryota; Metazoa; Chordata; Mammalia; Primates; Hominidae. The record is from RNAcentral.